CCUACGGGAGGCAGCAGUAGGGAAUCUUCGGCAGAUGACGCAACUCUGACCGAGCAACGCCGCGUGAGUGAAGACGGUUUUCGGAUCGUAAAGCUCUGUUGUAGGGGAAGAACGUGUGUAAGAGUGGAAAGCUUUCACAGUGACGGUACCCUACCAGAAAGGGACGGCUAACUACGUGCCAGCAGCCGCGGAAAUACGUAGGUCCCGAGCGUUGUCCGGAUUUAUUGGGCGUAAAGGGAGCGCAGGCGGUUUAGUAAGUCUGAAGUUAAAGGCAUUGGCUCAACCAAUGUAUGCUUUGGAAACUGUUAGAGUUGAGUGCAGAAGGGCGAAGUGGAAUUCCAUGUGUAGCGGUGAAAUGCGUAGAUAUAUGGAGGAACACCGGUGGCGAAAGCGGCUCUCUGGUCUGUCACUGACGCUGAGGCUCGAAAGCGUGGGUAGCGAACAGGAUUAGAUACCCUGGUAGUCCACGCCGUAAACGCUGAGUGCUAGGUGUUAGGUCCUUUCCGGGACUUAGUGCCGACGCUAACGCAUUAAGCACUCCGCCUGGGGAGUACGACCGCAAGGUUGAAACUCAAAGGAAUUGACGG
Molecule: ribosomal RNA, 587 nt
Filed under: uncultured Streptococcus sp.
Lineage: Bacteria; Bacillati; Bacillota; Bacilli; Lactobacillales; Streptococcaceae
Description: bacterial SSU rRNA
Rfam family: Bacterial small subunit ribosomal RNA
Source: RNAcentral